This 92-nucleotide transfer RNA is filed under the name Halarchaeum grantii. RNAcentral describes it as "tRNA-Gly". The record is from RNAcentral. Lineage: Archaea; Methanobacteriati; Methanobacteriota; Halobacteria; Halobacteriales; Halobacteriaceae.
AUCGGCGUGGUCAACGAAGACAUCGGUUGCUCCCAGCUGCCGGAUGAAGUUCAACCGUGACGUGGAGAGGUUCCGCGUCCGUACGCCGACGC